This 496-nucleotide ribosomal RNA is filed under the name uncultured bacterium. Its description in RNAcentral is "partial 16S ribosomal RNA". It matches the Rfam family "Bacterial small subunit ribosomal RNA", at positions 28 to 506 of the family's 1533-position model. The record is from RNAcentral.
GAUGAACGCUGGCGGCGUGCCUAAUACAUGCAAGUCGAGCGAACAGACGAGGAGCUUGCUCCUCUGACGUUAGCGGCGGACGGGUGAGUAACACGUGGAUAACCUACCUAUAAGACUGGGAUAACUUCGGGAAACCGGAGCUAAUACCGGAUAAUAUAUUGAACCGCAUGGUUCAAUAGUGAAAGACGGUUUUGCUGUCACUUAUAGAUGGAUCCGCGCCGCAUUAGCUAGUUGGUAAGGUAACGGCUUACCAAGGCGACGAUGCGUAGCCGACCUGAGAGGGUGAUCGGCCACACUGGAACUGAGACACGGUCCAGACUCCUACGGGAGGCAGCAGUAGGGAAUCUUCCGCAAUGGGCGAAAGCCUGACGGAGCAACGCCGCGUGAGUGAUGAAGGUCUUCGGAUCGUAAAACGCUGUUAUUAGGGAAGAACAAAUGUGUAAGUAACGAUGCACGUCUUGACGGUACCUAAUCAGAAAGCCACGGCUAACUACGU